This 433-nucleotide ribosomal RNA is filed under the name uncultured bacterium. RNAcentral describes it as "partial 16S ribosomal RNA". It matches the Rfam family "Bacterial small subunit ribosomal RNA", at positions 29 to 507 of the family's 1533-position model. The record is from RNAcentral.
AACGAACGCUGGCGGCAUGCCUAACACAUGCAAGUCGAACGAGACCUUCGGGUCUAGUGGCGCACGGGUGCGUAACGCGUGGGAACCUGCCCUUAGGUUCGGAAUAACUCAGAGAAAUUUGAGCUAAUACCGGAUAAUGUCUUCGGACCAAAGAUUUAUCGCCUUUGGAUGGGCCCGCGUAGGAUUAGCUUGUUGGUGGGGUAAUGGCCUACCAAGGCGACGAUCCUUUGCUGGUCUGAGAGGAUGAUCAGCCACACUGGGACUGAGACACGGCCCAGACUCCUACGGGAGGCAGCAGUGGGGAAUAUUGGACAAUGGGCGAAAGCCUGAUCCAGCAAUGCCGCGUGAGUGAUGAAGGCCUUAGGGUUGUAAAGCUCUUUUACCAGGGAUGAUAAUGACAGUACCUGGAGAAUAAGCUCCGGCUAACUCCGUG